AUAUUCACAUUCCCUAAGAGGACGUUCUGGACCCUCGGGCAGAGCUUUGUGAGAGAAACAAGGCUGGCUUCAAGUGAUCUGCAACCAGAGUAAUUGGGAUUUGACAAGGACUGUGAAAGGCUGACUCUCCCUGUUCUCUUUCAUGCUGGCACCGGGCAGAGUGUGGGAACUACUGCCUCAAUACGAUCAUAGAAGCCAUUGAGAUCCCGCAGUUUAUCGGCCGCAGUUACCUGACGUAUGACAACCCAGAUAUCUUGAAAAGGGUGUCAGGAUCAAGAUCAAAUGUGUUCAUGAGGUUUAAAACAACUGCCAAGGAUGGCCUUUUGCUGUGGAGGGGAGACAGCCCCAUGAGACCCAACAGCGACUUCAUUUCCUUGGGCCUUCGGGAUGGAGCCCUCGUGUUCAGGUAACGCCCUCUCCAUCUGCCUUCAGCAGCACCUUGCGAUUUUCUCAGACAUUGCAGAUCAUGCCAGAGUGAUUCAGAAGGGAGCCAGAACACAGUCUGCUGGAAUUGGCUGAAGCCUGAAGCUUCAGGGCUUAUUGGAAGCUCCUGGUCUUUCUUUCCGACAUUCAUCUUAUAGAGCAGC
RNAcentral lists this small RNA (587 nucleotides) under Pan troglodytes (chimpanzee). Its description in RNAcentral is "retained intron". Lineage: Eukaryota; Metazoa; Chordata; Mammalia; Primates; Hominidae. The record is from RNAcentral.